GAACUUCCGGGAAGGCGCCAUUGCACUAAGCUCAAGUCUCUGAAGGUCAGAGUCACAGUAUAAACUAUGUCCUUUCCAAAGGAUUAGUGUGUGUGUGUGUGUGUGUGUGUGUGUGUGUGUGUGUGUGUGUGUGUGUGAUAUAUGUCUAUGUAUGUGUGCCAUAUGAGUUCAAGAGUCCAAGAUAAGUCAGAAAAGGCAUGGAUCCUCUGGAUGUGGGGUGUGAGUGUUCCUAUGGAUACCUGGUACUGAGUCUGGAACCUCUGCAAGAACAGCCCGUGCUCUUCAUUGGAGAACCACCUCUCCAGAACCCACCUCAAUCCUUGAGCCAUACGUACUUAAUAACAUUGUAUAGUAUUAUCCCUGGUUUUUCGGGAUGAAAACAGGUAAGUUGACACCUAUCCUCUAGCUUGGGGGCAAAAUACAAGGAUAUAACUCUGGGGCUUACCCAGAGAUGAAGAGCAGUUUCUAGAAACAGCCUUGUCAAUCAACUAACAUCUUGAAUGUAUUGUAAACACACUUACAGGUUUAAUUUGCAGGUGGAAAUGGUAGGCUUCUACCAGCUCAGAGAAGGGAAUAACCUAACCUGCGUUCCCCUAUCUCUGUUUGACACAAGACAGAACAACAAAAUUUACAGAAGAAAUCCUGAGAUUUCACUCAUCAGAGUGAGAGAAGAAACCUGGGUAGGGAAAGUAGGAUGAGAGGUAGAAAUUCUUCUUCAACUCAAAUUCCCCAGAAGUAUUUUUCCAAAAAUUAUAAAAGUAUUGGUAAUUUUGUACAAAUUUACUCUGUCUUUUAAGAACAUUUUUCUCCUGAGAGCUGUCUCUUCAGAAGCAGAAGUACCCCAUGCUGUGGGAUAAGAAGGCCACAAGGUAUUUCCAUCCAGCAGAGGAAACAGCUCUCCCUUGUACUAAUUAAGACUGUUUCAGGCCCUACACACUCAGCUAGGAUUGGGAAGCCUUGCAGGACGGUGACUGCCUAGCCCCAGACCAGACUUCCAAACUGGAAUUGAUCUUGAUACUUCCUGCAAGUGCCAUCCACCUUUGACCUGAGUGUGAAGAUAUUUGAUAAAGCCCUGAAAAGCAAGCAGUUCCUUGAGACUGAGCACUCUUGGAAAGGGCCAGGUCUAGAAAGCGGGAAGGAGGAGGUAUCAGUCACCACUAUGAUUGUGUACAGUGGGGCUUUCCCCCUCUUAAAGGGACAUUGCAGAAUCACAAAGGUAGGGCAGUUGGAGAAGGAAGAAGGAAGGGAAAAGAUAUGAAUCCACACCUGCAGUUUGAAGGUGUGUGGCAACCAUGUCUCCACUCCUCUGAGGGGACAGCCUCUGGUCAGUCGCACUGAGCCUGCGUCUCGUUGUGUGUGAACCUCUGAACUAUGAGGAAGCUGAGGCAGAAGUGGAUAACGCGUUCUAAAUCAUUAACAACGUUUGUUCUUUGAGCCUCACUUAUAUGUCAUUUUUUCUUCUUCUUUGCUUUAGUGAUUCCCAACCUUCCUGUCUCUGUGACCCUUUAAUACGACGGCUCCUCCUGUUGUGGUGACCCCAACCACAGAAUCAUGUCUUUGUUGCUACCUCACCACUGCAAUUCUGCUAUUGGCUGUGCCCUACCCUGGGUGAUUCUGUUUUACAACCAGCAUUUGGAUCCAUCUGGAGUGUCAAUCGAGCGGCGGCAGGAUGACUCUGCACCAGUUUAUAUACACACACGCGAGAAACAAUACCUGUUCAACACAGACUGAUAGGUUGAAUUUCGGUGACUGAGGCAAGGCUUCCUGAAAUACUUUAUCCACAGACCACACAUUCAGACAGACUAAGAGAUGCUUCAAUUACAGGACCACUACACUUUAAACGAGACUGAGCAUUUAAUUUUUCCUAUGUUUACCAAUGGGAAAAAAGGACCAGUUCCAUGAAUUGAUACACUUUGUGUUGUGUUGUGUCUAUCUGGGUGGUAAGAUGAAAUACAUAGAUGUAUGUUUUGGAAACGUGUUCCUCUCCCAAUCUAAUGAGGGAAAUAGAUGCUUAGUCAUUUGUCAUAAGUGACAGGGCACUUUAGUUCACUGGUUUGCUUUACCCAGAGGGCAGCAGUGAGCUUUGGUAACGCUGUUAGCCAAGAAGGCAACUGUACCAGCGCAGAUAGGAGGAAGUGUCCUCGGAGUGUCUCAGGAAGGCUCUGGCGGAUACGCAUGCGCGAUUCUCACUGUUUUCUGUGUGGAUGGCAGCAGAGCCCUGGUACCAAUUCAUCCUAGUGCCCAAGCUGAGAUACCUAACUUGGGAUAUCACAUACACCCAUUUCUAUCUAUGGGAACUGUAUUCGGUCUGCUCACUCCUCGUUUCUCAGAAGUUCUUCCUGUUUAUGAUGUUGUUUCUGACAUUUAGAAUGUGCGGGUUACAGGUUGGCAAGUUGGCCAGCCAGUACUUGCUAUCAAGCCUGCGUGAGCACCCGAGUUUAAUGAGUAGGAUUCACAUGGGAAAAGGAGAGAACCGGCUUCUACAAGGAGCCUCCUGACCUCCUUACACACACCAUGGCUCAGAGACACUCAUAUACAAAUAAAUAAAUGUU
Molecule: long non-coding RNA, 2552 nt
Filed under: Mus musculus (house mouse)
Lineage: Eukaryota; Metazoa; Chordata; Mammalia; Rodentia; Muridae
Description: predicted gene, 48545
Source: RNAcentral